GGAAACAAAACACAACCAUGCACAAAACCUGUAAUCCCAGAAGAAUAUAAAGCUAAUUUGGGAUUAUCGUAUAAAAUACCUGACUGUGAUUCCCAGGAUGACGUACAGAACCAAAUUGUCCAGAUAACAGAUCAGUUACCAUGUUCUACUAACCCGGAUUGUACGUUAAAUGUUACAAUAAACAGCUGUGUUUUAGAUCCUGCUCCUACCUUAUCUCUGGGCGUGUCCAUUAAUAUACCAAUUAACCAAUCAACAAUUGAUUUUAAACCAGGAAAUGGUACAGAUGAUAUAACUCGUGCAUUAGAUACUUUGGAUAGAACAUCCCAAAUGAUACAAGAUGAUGACGCCAUCUUUAAUG
Long non-coding RNA from Patella vulgata (common limpet), 358 nucleotides. RefSeq lists it as uncharacterized. The record is from RefSeq and is a predicted model, not a curated record. The transcript has 3 exons. Lineage: Eukaryota; Metazoa; Mollusca; Gastropoda; Patellidae.